AACUGUGGGAAAGAACCAUCUCACCUAGUCAUGUUAAGGUCGGGCCAUGUACUCAUGCAGCAUUACAAUGGACAAUUUUAUUAUUUUAAAAUGUUUAAUUUAAUCUUUAUUUAAACUAGGAUAGCUCAGGCCUUUUUGAUAAAGUGUACAGAGUUGAACAGGUCUGUUGGGCUACACUGUCAUGUCCUUGGCAAAGACUUACCAUGGGGUUCAUUGUUUCAGCCUGAAAUGGGAGAGCCUCACUUUUGGAGUCUGAACUCGAGGCCUGAAAACGAGCUCUCGGCUUUGGCUGCAACACACAGAUGCAAUACAUGGACCUUUUCUUUUACCAGGGCAAAGGCGAUGACAUCACAGAGGAUGCAGGUCUUUCUUUCUGCAUAGCCAAACUGGAGGAACUGCUGCUUGGUCAGGACGGGUUUGUAGUGGAAAAGAUCCCGCAGUACCUAGAUGCCAGGCGAAGCAGUGACUGGGCGCCAGCAAGAGGGUCUCGCUCUUCCUUCUCCCUCUCCUCUCGCCAAAAUGAACCGAUGCUGUGAGAGGCAGAUAGUGCUGAAGCCGCAGGCGAGCUAAGAGAACAGAAGAGGGGAUUCUGAUCCGAGAUGAGAACUUGGACCAACAUGGAGUUCCUGUGUUCACCGCAGGAAUCAGGAUUUCAUGUGAGCCUUUAUAAAAUAAUUGCUCAAGGACGCUGUGCUGCCAACCACCGGUAGCCAGAUGGAAGGAAACACCACCAGAGUGUGUUAAAUACAGAUGCUGCAGAUCAGGGCCCGCUCAGUGAAAACCCUUCUGGUUCUGAUAGCAGGGUUAACAGAGGCUAUAGUACAGCCUCAACAAAAAGACUGAAAAACCCCUGAUGCAUGUACACAAGUCAUUCCUUCCAAGUCCUCAGUUGGUUGUGAUGAGAGAGGAGCUGUAAUAUUAGAACGUGAGAUGAAGGAAAUGGCUUAGCCUUGACCUGACCAAGCACAAUAUCAUGAAAAAGGGAAUUCCGACAGUGGGACAUUUCCCAUAGAUAGGAAUGAAUGGAAUUUCUAGACUACUUUAAGACUCCAUUCAUGUCAUUUGAGCACCACAGGAAUGAAAAGGAAUCCCACAUGUAGCCUACCUUUAACCUCUACAGGGGAAAUCCUGCACUGUUUCAAAAGGACUUUAUUGGUAGUGAGUGAUGCAAUAGCAAUGUCUUCCAUGUGUGUGUAUUAGGGGAAAAUAUUGCAGUUCAGCUCAAGCUUGGAGGGGUUAAACCACAGCAGAGCGUCUGGGUAGACAGCCAUUGGCCUCAGGAGACCCCAAGGAAUAAACUGAAGUCACAGUG
Molecule: long non-coding RNA, 1312 nt
Organism: Oncorhynchus tshawytscha (Chinook salmon)
Lineage: Eukaryota; Metazoa; Chordata; Actinopteri; Salmoniformes; Salmonidae
Exons: 3
Source: RefSeq, a predicted model, not a curated record